UCGGGAAUUUUGGGCAAUGGGCGAAAGCCUGACCCAGCAACGCCGCGUGAGGGAUGAAGGCCCUCGGGUCGUAAACCUCUGUCGGGAGGGAAGAACGGUUGACGUUCAAACAGGACGGCAGCCUGACGGUACCUCCAAAGGAAGCACCGGCUAACUCCGUGCCAGCAGCCGCGGUAAUACGGAGGGUGCAAGCGUUGUUCGGAAUCAUUGGGCGUAAAGCGCGUGUAGGCGGCUUGGCAAGUCGGUUGUGAAAGCCCGGGGCCCAACCCCGGAAUUGCAUCUGAAACUGCCUAGCUAGAGUCCCGGAGAGGAAGGCAGAAUUCCCGGUGUAGGGGUGAAAUCCGUAGAUAUCGGGAGGAAUACCAGCGGCGAAGGCGGCCUUCUGGACGGUGACUGACGCUGAGACGCGAAAGCGUGGGGAGCAAACAGG
RNAcentral lists this ribosomal RNA (430 nucleotides) under uncultured bacterium. RNAcentral describes it as "bacterial SSU rRNA". It matches the Rfam family "Bacterial small subunit ribosomal RNA", at positions 355 to 776 of the family's 1533-position model. The record is from RNAcentral.